AAGUCGUAACAAGGUUUCCGUAGGUGAACCUGCGGAAGGAUCAUUAAAGAGUUAGGGUCUCUCAGGCCCGACCUCCCAACCCUUUGUUUACUGAACCAUUGUUGCUUCGGUGGGUCCGUCUCACGACCGCCGGGGGGGACCCCUCCCUGGCCCGCACCCGCCGAUAGCCCAACCUUUAAAAUCCUUUAUGAAUCGUGUCUUAUGUCUAAAUCAUGAUAAUAAAUCAAAUUAAAACUUUCAACAACGGAUCUCUUGGUUCUG
Molecule: unclassified non-coding RNA, 261 nt
Filed under: Cladophialophora sp.
Lineage: Eukaryota; Fungi; Ascomycota; Eurotiomycetes; Chaetothyriales; Herpotrichiellaceae
Description: partial internal transcribed spacer region
Rfam family: Eukaryotic small subunit ribosomal RNA (bases 1-46)
Source: RNAcentral